UUUUCAUUGGUAUAAUUUUAGACGCGCAGAGCUCUAAGAGCAGUUAAAGAGUGUCAGGACAGCUCCCAUCUGGUUCAUUGCUGAUUUGCGCUUUGCUCCCUUUGCUUUUUCAUUUGUUUGCUCUUGUUUUCACUCUUAUUUUUACACAUUUGCAGAAUUAAUGAUGGCGUUCCUUGUGAGGAGUUGGAGCAUGGACAUAACACAUCUCAAUGCUUUUCUCGUCCAUUGACCUCUCCUUCUUGGCUUAUUUCCUGAAGGACACAGAGGAGCAGGGUACAAGACAUGCCGGGCUUCAGGAUGCCAGCCCAGCAGCUCUGCAUGGCAGCCAGACUUCAAGGGACCAGAGGAGACGCUGGCUUCCUCAAGACCUGCGCUGUGGAAUUAAGGUUACAUUCCUAGGAGCUGAAUAAACGAAGGACCAACACAUAUGUGAGAAGAGUCCAAAGUGGGUCACCCAGAGUGAGGAGCCCAUGCAGUGAUGAGCAACAUAGUUGUAUUUCAGAGUGAGUGAAGCACUGGCUGCUGGCUACUAUGAUUGGUUUGCAGUUCCACUU
Molecule: long non-coding RNA, 554 nt
Filed under: Chinchilla lanigera (long-tailed chinchilla)
Lineage: Eukaryota; Metazoa; Chordata; Mammalia; Rodentia; Chinchillidae
Description: lncRNA (ENSCLAG00000025291.1)
Source: RNAcentral